AGCGUUGAAACACCUGUUCCUAAACGAUCACUGAAGUUAAGCAACGUCGAGCCUGGUCAGUUCCUAGAUGGGUGAACGCUUGGAAAUAGCAGGUGCUGUAAG
Non-coding RNA from Acanthosepion pharaonis, 102 nucleotides. Lineage: Eukaryota; Metazoa; Mollusca; Cephalopoda; Sepiida; Sepiidae. The record is from the annotation of a GenBank genome assembly.